CGCUCAUCCAGAGGAGCUGAGGGACCGGCCCUACGACGCUCCGGCAACCAUCCGUUCUGCCACCUCAUCGUGGCACGGCGCGGUGCCAACUCCGGCCCACCCGGCAGCCGCCGAGCCGUGGGAAAGAUGAGGA
This 133-nucleotide non-coding RNA is filed under the name Catenulispora acidiphila. RNAcentral describes it as "SAM-I sequence". It matches the Rfam family "SAM riboswitch aptamer (S box leader)". From Rfam's summary of the family: The SAM riboswitch is found upstream of a number of genes which code for proteins involved in methionine or cysteine biosynthesis in Gram-positive bacteria. The SAM riboswitch acts at the level of transcription termination control. The record is from RNAcentral. RNAcentral also lists the same sequence under 1 other name. Lineage: Bacteria; Bacillati; Actinomycetota; Actinomycetes; Catenulisporales; Catenulisporaceae.